GACGAACGCUGGCGGCGUGCUUAACACAUGCAAGUCGAACGCUGAAGCUCAGCUUUUGUUGGGUGGAUGAGUGGCGAACGGGUGAGUAACACGUGAGUAACCUGCCUCCUUCUUUGGGAUAACGCCCGGAAACGGGUGCUAAUACUGGAUAUUCACUGGUCUUCGCAUGGGGGUUGGUGGAAAGGGUUUUUCUGGUGGGGGAUGGGCUCGCGGCCUAUCAGCUUGUUGGUGGGGUGAUGGCCUACCAAGGCUUUGACGGGUAGCCGGCCUGAGAGGGUGACCGGUCACAUUGGGACAGAGAUACGGCCCAGACUCCUACGGGAGGCAGCAGUGGGGAAUAUUGCACAAUGGGCGCAAGCCUGAUGCAGCGACGCCGCGUGAGGGAUGGAGGCCUUCGGGUUGUGAACCUCUUUCGCUCAUGGUCAAGCCGCAACAAUGGUUGUGGUGAGGGUAGUGGGUAAAGAAGCGCCGGCUAACUACGUG
This 483-nucleotide ribosomal RNA is filed under the name uncultured bacterium. RNAcentral describes it as "partial 16S ribosomal RNA". It matches the Rfam family "Bacterial small subunit ribosomal RNA", at positions 28 to 507 of the family's 1533-position model. The record is from RNAcentral.